AAAAACAGAUAAGGGCAGACGGUGGAUGCCUUGGCUCUCGGAGGCGACGAAGGACGUGAUAAGCUGCGAUAAGCUACGGGGAUCGGCACAUACGAUUUGAUCCGUAGAUUUCCGAAUGGGGCAACCCGGCAUGUAGAAGACAUGUCACACUGCAGAGCAGUGAGCGAACGUGGGGAACUGAAACAUCUAAGUACCCAUAGGAGAAGAAAACAAAAGUGAUUCCCUUAGUAGUGGCGAGCGAACGGGGACUAGCCCAAACCAGAUUUGUUUCGGCAAAACUGGGGUUGUAGGACCUCGACAUAGGAAGACAAGAUUAGGAGAACGGUCUGGAAAGGCCGGCCAUAGAACAUGAGAGCUGUGUAUCCGAAAAUCUUCGUUGGACUUAGAGGUAUCCUGAGUAGCGCGGGACACGUGAAAUCCUGUGUGAAUCUGCGGGGCCCAUCCCGUAAGGCUAAAUACUCCCGAGAGACCGAUAGUGAACCAGUACCGUGAGGGAAAGGUGAAAAGAACCUCGAACAGAGGAGUGCAAUAGAUCCUGAACCCGUCUGCCUACAAGCGGUAGGAGCAGCUUCGAGCUGUGACUGCGUGCCUUUUGCAUAAUGAACCUACGAGUUACUUUCUCUGGCAAGGUUAAGUGAUGAAGAGUCACGUGAGCCGAAGCGAAAGCGAGUCUGAAUAGGGCGGUUUAGUCAGAGGGAGUAGACGCGAAACCAAGUGAUCUACCCUUGGUCAGGUUGAAGGUUGGGUAAAACCAACUGGAGGACCGCACCGGUAAGCGUUGAAAAGCUUUCGGAUGAACUGAGGGUAGGGGUGAAAGGCUAAUCAAACUUGGAGAUAGCUCGUACUCCCCGAAAUGCAUUUAGGUGCAGCCUGUGGAGUUUCUUACGUGAGGUAGAGCGACUGAUUGGAUGCGAGGCUUUCACCGGCUAUCAAGUCCAGACAAACUCCGAAUGCACGUUAAGUAAGAUCCACGGAGUGAGGGCAUGGGUGCUAAGGUCCAUGUCCGAGAGGAGAAGAAUCCAGACCAUCGGCUAAGGUCCCGAAAUAAUAGCUAAGUUGACCAAACGAAGUCAGAGUGCGAAGACAGCUAGGAUGUUGGCUUGGAAGCAGCCAUUCAUUUAAAGAGUGCGUAACAGCUCACUAGUCGAGUGCUUUGGCGUGGAUAAUAAUCGGGCAUAAGCUAUUUACCGAAGCUGUGGGAUGUGUAAACAUCGGUAGGGGAGCAUUCUAGCGGCGCAGAAGGUGAGAGGACAACUCUUGCUGGAGCUUCUAGAAAAGCAAAUGUAGGUAUAAGUAACGAUAAAGGAGGUGAGAAACCUCCUCGCCGAAAGACUAAGGUUUCCUGAUCAACGCUAAUCGGAUCAGGGUUAGUCGGGGCCUAAGGGGAAGCCGAACGGCGUACCCGAUGGAAGAACCGGUUAAUAUUCCGGUACUAAUUAUGUGAGCGAUGUGGAGACGGAGAUGUGACGGUCCUGCCAACUGACGGAAUAGUUGGUUGAAGGGUGUAGGAGUUGAUCUGAGUAGGCAAAUCCGCUCGGAGAUCCGAACCUGACAGUACUCUGAGUGCUUGCACAAGGAGAUAUGGACAACUGUAACGGUACUCCCAAGAAAAUCCGCUAAGCAUAUUGCAUGAUUACCCGUACCACAAACCGACACAGGUGGUUGGGUUGAGUAUACUAAGGCGCUCGAGUGAUUCGCGGUUAAGGAACUAGGCAAAAUAGUCCUGUAACUUCGGAAUAAAGGACGCUCACAGUGAAGGCUGUGAGCCGCAGAGAAUAGGCCCAGGCGACUGUUUAACAAAAACACAUGGCUAUGCUAAAUCGAAAGAUACUGUAUAUAGCCUGACACCUGCCCGGUGCUGGAAGGUUAAGAGGAGAUGUCAUCGCAAGAGAAGCAUUGAAUUGAAGCCCCAGUAAACGGCGGCCGUAACUAUAACGGUCCUAAGGUAGCGAAAUUCCUUGUCGGGU
This 1967-nucleotide ribosomal RNA is filed under the name human oral metagenome. RNAcentral's name for it is "bacterial LSU rRNA". It matches the Rfam family "Bacterial large subunit ribosomal RNA", at positions 1 to 1977 of the family's 2925-position model. The record is from RNAcentral.